This is a long non-coding RNA of Vitis vinifera (wine grape), 485 nucleotides long. RefSeq lists it as uncharacterized. NCBI's taxonomy places the organism in Eukaryota, Viridiplantae, Streptophyta, Magnoliopsida, Vitales, Vitaceae. The transcript has 2 exons. The record is from RefSeq and is a predicted model, not a curated record.
UUGAAAUGCCAUGUCACCAGAGUGAAUUCUCCCUUAUUUUUAUUCACAUCCGCCAUCGCCUUCUUCUCUCUGAUUUUCUCUCCAACACCCACCUCUUGAAAUUCAAUUUUUGGAUAGAAAAUAGUGGAAAUUUUUCUUAACUACCUGUGAUACAAUGACGGUUUCUUCUGGUGAAAACUCUACUGAUAGGUUUAGAAAUGAAAGUACUGGAUCAGGAGAGAAAGGAUGAGAAGGAGAAUUGCGGACAUAAGAAAAUAAUGUCUUCCUGUUUGGCUCUGAAGAUUUGCUUGGAGGAGAAAAGGGUGACUACUCUAAAAGUGAGCCACAGUUAGAAGCAUUUUGGUCUUCUUCAGAGUUUCCUUGUAAAUUAUAGACAAUUGUUAGGCCUGGUGCCACAUGUGAUGUUUAAAAAGUUGUUGACUAGUUGAAUGGAACCCAUCUUUAGGCAUGCUUUUUACUGAAUAAAAUAUAUGUUUGAAUAAUAA